This 412-nucleotide long non-coding RNA is filed under the name Capsella rubella. RNAcentral's name for it is "long non-coding RNA (CRUB_LNC004763)". Lineage: Eukaryota; Viridiplantae; Streptophyta; Magnoliopsida; Brassicales; Brassicaceae. The record is from RNAcentral.
AACAAGUGUAGUUUGAAAAAAGAAACUUGUUAUCUGUUUGUAGCAAACCCUAGACCGACCAAUAUCAAGAUUUUAAUGAGAAGAUGCUUAUCAUGUCACAAGUAAAUAGUUUAGUUGCGGACAUUUCAUGGUAUGGGUUAAAAGGUUAAAAAAAAAUAAAAUAAAAUAAAAUAAACGAUCGAGGAGCCAAACAUUGUUGACGGUCAAAGACAUAUAACGAUAAAACCAACCCAUCCCCGAGAUUUUAAAACAUGGCAUGUGUUGUCUCGCAAUCUCUGUUUUUUUUUUCAUUUUACAUAACAAAUGUAUAAAAUAAUAAUCAUAACUCAUUUUUUUAAUACUUAUAGAUUGAUGGAACCAUAUAUACAAUUACUAGUGGAACAGUGUAAAGACGAUGUUCCAAAGAUUUUCA